This 510-nucleotide ribosomal RNA is filed under the name uncultured bacterium. RNAcentral's name for it is "partial 16S ribosomal RNA". It matches the Rfam family "Bacterial small subunit ribosomal RNA", at positions 28 to 507 of the family's 1533-position model. The record is from RNAcentral.
GACGAACGCUGGCGGCGUGCUUAACACAUGCAAGUCGAACGAAGAGCGAUGGAAGCUUGCUUCUAUCAAUCUUAGUGGCGAACGGGUGAGUAACGCGUAAUCAACCUGCCCUUCAGAGGGGGACAACAGUUGGAAACGACUGCUAAUACCGCAUACGAUCUAAUCUCGGCAUCGAGGAUAGAUGAAAGGUGGCCUCUAUGUAUAAGCUAUCAUUGAAGGAGGGGAUUGCGGCUGAUUAGCUAGUUGGAGGGGUAACGGCCCACCAAGGCGAUGAUCAGUAGCCGGUCUGAGGGGAUGAACGGCCACAAUGGGACUGGGACACGGCCCAGACUCCUACGGGAGGCAGCAGUGGGGAAUCUUCCGGAAUGGACGGAAGUCUGGCGGAGCAACGCCGCGUGGGUGAUGACGGCCUUCGGGUUGUAAAGCUCUGUUAAUCGGGAAGAAAGGCCUUCUUGCGAAUAGUGAGAAGGAUUGACGGUACCGGAAUAGAAAGCCACGGCUAACUACGUG